RNAcentral lists this ribosomal RNA (468 nucleotides) under uncultured bacterium. Its description in RNAcentral is "partial 16S ribosomal RNA". It matches the Rfam family "Bacterial small subunit ribosomal RNA", at positions 28 to 507 of the family's 1533-position model. The record is from RNAcentral.
GACGAACGCUGGCGGCGUGCUUAACACAUGCAAGUCGAACGGAAAGGCCCUGCUUUUGUGGGGUGCUUGAGUGGCGAACGGGUGAGUAACACGUGAGUAACCUGCACUUGACUUUGGGAUAACUUCAGGAAACUGGGGCUAAUACCGGAUAGGAGCUCCUGCUGCAUGGUGGGGGUUGGAAAGUUUCGGCGGUUGGGGAUGGACUCGCGGCUUAUCAGCUUGUUGGUGGGGUAGUGGCUUACCAAGGCUUUGACGGGUAGCCGGCCUGAGCGGGUGACCGGCCACAAUGGGACUGAGAGACGGCCCAGACUCCUACGGGAGGCAGCAGUGGGGAAUAUUGCACAAUGGGCGGAAGCCUGAUGCAGCGACGCCGCGUGCGGGAUGACGGCCUUCGAGUUGUAAACCGCUUUCGCCUGUGACGAAGCGUGAGUGACGGUAAUGGGUAAAGAAGCACCGGCUAACUACGUG